This 450-nucleotide ribosomal RNA is filed under the name uncultured bacterium. Its description in RNAcentral is "partial 16S ribosomal RNA". It matches the Rfam family "Bacterial small subunit ribosomal RNA", at positions 354 to 796 of the family's 1533-position model. The record is from RNAcentral.
GUGGGGAAUAUUGGACAAUGGGCGAAAGCCUGAUCCAGCCAUGCCGCGUGUGUGAAGAAGGUCUUCGGAUUGUAAAGCACUUUAAGUUGGGAGGAAGGGCAGUAAGUUAAUACCUUGCUGUUUUGACGUUACCGACAGAAUAAGCACCGGCUAACUUCGUGCCAGCAGCCGCGGUAAUACGAAGGGUGCAAGCGUUAAUCGGAAUUACUGGGCGUAAAGCGCGCGUAGGUGGUUUUGUAAGUUGGAGGUGAAAUCCCCGGGCUCAACCUGGGAACUGCAUCCAAAACUGCAUGACUAGAGUACGGUAGAGGGUAGUGGAAUUGCCUGUGUAGCGGUGAAAUGCGUAGAUAUAGGAAGGAACACCAGUGGCGAAGGCGACUACCUGGACUGAUACUGACACUGAGGUGCGAAAGCGUGGGGAGCAAACAGGAUUAGAUACCCGGGUAGUCC